UUAAGAUAGCCGGCGUGGCGGAAUUGGCAGACGCGCUGGAUUCAAAAUCCAGUGUCCUC
RNAcentral lists this transfer RNA (59 nucleotides) under Streptococcus agalactiae. Its description in RNAcentral is "partial tRNA-Leu". The record is from RNAcentral. Lineage: Bacteria; Bacillati; Bacillota; Bacilli; Lactobacillales; Streptococcaceae.